CACAAAUUUCUGAAGAUAAUUCGCCUAAAGUGUAUUGGGAAUAAUUUAUAAUACCACUAUUUUUAUUUUUGAGACGUUCUUUUACUUUUUCAGCAAAGAGGUAAGGUAGUCCUGCUAUAAAUUUUUCUUUCCAGUGAUCAAGAUGACUAUCUUCUCGUAUAAGUAGUCGGGAGAAAAAGACGUCUUUAUACCAUUUAUAAUGUGACAAUGUUGGGCAUCUUAAAUUAGAUAAAAGAUCAGCAGUUCUUGCUGCAAGUAUUGAUGUAUUUCCUAUGAAAUGAAGAGCAAUCGUAUAUAUCAAAGAGUUGACAGCAUCACUCUCGGAAUAUACCAUAUCUUGAUUAUGUUCAUUUUUUGCUGUCCAUUGCCUAGUAUUGGUUAAUAUCUGUUGUUUUGUUUGUUCAUUUAAGUAUGAAUCCCACC
RNAcentral lists this long non-coding RNA (423 nucleotides) under Amborella trichopoda. RNAcentral's name for it is "long non-coding RNA (ATRI_LNC000757)". The record is from RNAcentral. Lineage: Eukaryota; Viridiplantae; Streptophyta; Magnoliopsida; Amborellales; Amborellaceae.